GUAGGGGGCGAGCGUUAUCCGGAUUUAUUGGGCGUAAAGCGUGUGUAGGCGGUUUAUUAAGUUUAAGAUUAAAGCCCGGGGCUCAACUCCGGUAAGUCUUAAAAACUGGUAGACUUGAGUACGGUAGAGGCAAACGGAAUUUCUAGUGUAGCGGUGAAAUGCGUAGAUAUUAGAAGGAACACCAGUGGCGAAAGCGGUUUGCUGGGCCGUUACUGACGCUGAGGCACGAAAGCGUGGGGAGCAAAUAGGAUUAGAUACCCUAGUAGUCCACGCCGUAAACGAUGAGUACUAAGUGUUGGGGUUACCCAGUGCUGAAGCUAACGUAUUAAGUACUCCGCCUGAGUAGU
RNAcentral lists this ribosomal RNA (347 nucleotides) under uncultured bacterium. Its description in RNAcentral is "bacterial SSU rRNA". It matches the Rfam family "Bacterial small subunit ribosomal RNA", at positions 527 to 881 of the family's 1533-position model. The record is from RNAcentral.